This is a long non-coding RNA of Pteropus alecto (black flying fox), 1650 nucleotides long. RefSeq lists it as uncharacterized. NCBI's taxonomy places the organism in Eukaryota, Metazoa, Chordata, Mammalia, Chiroptera, Pteropodidae. The transcript has 3 exons. The record is from RefSeq and is a predicted model, not a curated record.
GCGAGGGGCGGGGCGCGGCGCUGCGGCGACUUCGGGCCCCCGGGAAACAGCCCGCGCGCGCUGCCUCCGUUCCGGGGGAGAGAACGUCCUCUUCUCGCCGGCAGCCGCCCUCGGGCUGGAACUGCUCCGGCCGCAGGGCUGGGGCCGAGCCCACUCACAACCGGCCGGAGGCGGAUUGCGGGAAGAGAGUCCGCGGCUCUUUCCAGCGUACAGACGCAGCUUCCUGACUUGCGGGACGAACUCCGACCGGAGGCUGGACAAUUGAGCUUCCGGCGGAAGUGGCGUGUCCCGGGCUCCGGCCCCGCCCCGCCCAAUCUGUCAGAUUGUGGGCGUGGCUACCGUCCUCGCCAGCGCGUCCCUUGGGGGCGUGUCUAGGAAACGCGGGGCGGGGGCGACGGGCGGUGUCCGUGCAGCGCGGAAGCGGGGCGCCUGGGUCUGCGAACCCCAAAGUCCAAAUCUCCCACCACGCCAGUCCUUCAUCUUUCAGAUCUGCGUUUAUCUAGGCUGUACUCCCAAGGGAUAGGACAGAAAGGAGGGUGUUUGAGGCAAAGGGCACACACUGCAACAGAAAUAACGCAGCAUGUGGCACACUCAAGGAAGUGCUGGAAGGUUUUGCCAGGAGGAAGAGAGCUUCUUCCAUGCCAGGCUAUUCGGAGCCCUUCAGAUCUCAACAUCUCAUUUGCACUGGGCUCCCCAUGGCUGCCACCUCAGCAGUUAUAACUGGCCCAGAACCUGGGCGCUCCUGGGCCUCUUCUGGGCAGCAUACAGACUGAUCUGGCUGUAGGUCCCCUGCCGGAAGGGGCCUGACGCCUCUGCCUCUCCUGCUUUGGGCACUUCCCUAGACAAAAUCCAGCAAUGCCAUCCCACUGCUCUCCGAUCCUGUUGGCUCUGGGUUCUCGGCCGCACCAGGAGCCCUGACAGAGGCUGGCCCAGCAAGGCCUCCUGAGGACUGACCAUGUACCAUGGGGCUUGGACUGCAAACCAGGAGGGGCCAGUGUGCAGCCCCUUGGAAGGGGCACGAUAGAUGGGGGUAUGGGCAGGAGUGGCCCCUCUUUUGAUGGGAGCAGUUGAGAACCUAAGAAGGACUCAGGUCUGGGGACAGGCAGAGAAGUUAGAAGACUCAGGGCUGGGUCCAAGGAGCCAGAGACAGGCACGUCUCCCUCUGCACAUGCUGGCCACGUGCCCCACAGGCAGCCCAGCCAGCAGGACAGGCAGGGCUCCAACCCCUUUGUGGGCUGGCUGUGGAGUGGGGUGGGAGGGUGCUGAGGAACCGAAGUACAAAGUCACAAAAACCUCAUGUGGUGCACACCCCCUGGCUCUGUAAAACGGCGGCUCUGGGGAUCACUGCCUUGGUCCCAUAGCUCCGCCUGCGGUUUACAGCCAACCAGCUCUUUUCUUAGCCUGUCCGCUCAUAGAAAUGGGGAACCCAAGUCCCCCGGAGUCAGCCCGCACCGUGGGCCCGGCAGUUGGAUCCUGCACAGCCUGAGGAAAAUCGCCCAUUCUCUUUAAACCUGGGCAAAAAAGAUGGUACACCCUCCAAGAGACACGUCUUUGGUCUGACAGCUGGACUGAGCAGCGUAGGAGCCGAUGUCAGAGGCCUCACGGCCGCACAGGCAUGCCUGGGGCUCAGGAACGACGCUGUGGCUCCCU